Molecule: ribosomal RNA, 253 nt
Filed under: uncultured bacterium
Lineage: Bacteria
Description: partial 16S ribosomal RNA
Rfam family: Bacterial small subunit ribosomal RNA
Source: RNAcentral
AACGUAGGAGACAAACGUUAUCCGGAGUUACUGGGCGUAAAGGGCGUGUAGGUGGUUUCGUAAGUCUGGCGUGAAAUUUUUCGGCUUAACCGGGAAAGGUCGUCGGAUACUGCAGAACUAGAGGACGGUAGAGGCGUGUGGAAUUCCGGGUGUAGUGGUGAAAUGCGUAGAUAUCAGGAGGAACACCAAUUGCGAAGGCAGCUCGCUGGGACGUAACUGACGCUGAGACGCGAAAGCGUGGGGAGCAAACAGG